This 454-nucleotide ribosomal RNA is filed under the name uncultured bacterium. RNAcentral describes it as "bacterial SSU rRNA". It matches the Rfam family "Bacterial small subunit ribosomal RNA", at positions 340 to 786 of the family's 1533-position model. The record is from RNAcentral.
UACGGGAGGCAGCAGUGGGGAAUAUUGCACAAUGGGCGCAAGCCUGAUGCAGCCAUGCCGCGUGUAUGAAGAAGGCCUUCGGGUUGUAAAGUACUUUCAGUCGUGAGGAAGGUGUUAAGGUUAAUAACCUUAGCAAUUGACGUUAGCGACAGAAGAAGCACCGGCUAACUCCGUGCCAGCAGCCGCGGUAAUACGGAGGGUGCGAGCGUUAAUCGGAAUUACUGGGCGUAAAGGGCACGCAGGCGGUUAAUUAAGUUGGAUGUGAAAUCCCCGGGCUUAACCUGGGAAUGGCAUUCAAGACUGGUUAGCUAGAGUCUUGUAGAGGGGGUAGAAUUCCGAUGUGUAGCGGUGAAAUGCGUAGAGAUGUGGAGGAUACCGGUGGCGAAGGCGGCCCCUGGGACAAAGACUGACGCUCAUGUGCGAAAGCGUGGGGAGCGAAACAGGAUUAGAUACC